This is a long non-coding RNA of Homo sapiens (human), 814 nucleotides long. Lineage: Eukaryota; Metazoa; Chordata; Mammalia; Primates; Hominidae. The record is from Ensembl.
GCUCUCUUUUCAGACUCAGCCUGCCUGCACCCAGGUGAAAUAAACAGCCUUGUUGCUCACACAAAGCCUGUUUGGUGGUCUCUUCACACGGACACGAGUGAAAUUUGGUGCCGUGACUCGAAUCGGGGGACCUCCCUUAGGAGAUCAAUCCCCUGUCCUCCUGCUCUUUGCUCCGUGAGAAAGAUCCACCUACGACCUCAGGUCCUCAGACCGACCAGCCCAAGAAACAUCUCACCAAUUUCAAAUCCAGACCCCACUAGAAAUCGGACUGUUCAACUCACCUGGCAGCCACUCCCAGAGCCCCUGGAACUCUGGCCCAAGGCUCUCUGACUGACUCCUUCCCAGAUCUUCUCGGCUUAGCAGCUGAAGACUGACGCUGCCCGAUCACCUCAGAAGCCCUGUAGACCAUCACAGACGCCAAGCUUUAAGUAACUCUCACAGUGGAAGGAAUUGGGCGAGUGAGCCUGGGCAUGUGCAUUAAGAGACAAAAUGGCAGAGCAUGACCUUCCGGGGGCAUUCCACUGGCAAAGGGAAGAAAGCUUCAGGUGGGCAUGCAUACAACACUGCACAUGCUCACCUCCCAAGGGUAAGGAGGCCACUGUGUGUGCAGGCAGCUCAUCCUUAAAGAAGAAUGAAGGGAAAGGGGCUCAAGAUGCCGGAAGUGGGCCAGCAUAUAAAGUCUUAGGAUCAACUUAGGGUCAAGGUGAAAUGGGGCACUUGUCCUUCAAGUCACCCGGUUGGGUCCCUUCCAAGUGCACUUUCCUUUCUUUCCUGCUCUAAAGCUUUUUAAUAAACUUCCACCCUUACUCUCAAA